Long non-coding RNA from Gossypium raimondii (Peruvian cotton), 1868 nucleotides. RefSeq lists it as uncharacterized. The record is from RefSeq and is a predicted model, not a curated record. Lineage: Eukaryota; Viridiplantae; Streptophyta; Magnoliopsida; Malvales; Malvaceae. The transcript is spliced from 3 exons.
UCUUAUUGACUAUUAAGUUCAGCUCAUCAUAUGUUAUGGAAAUAUAUUAAUGUGUUUCUACUGUUGAAAUAUAAUUCAUGGUUCAUGCUCAAUAUCAUUUCAGGUUCAAGAUAUUUUCUAACUUUUUUGAUGAAUUUGAUUCCAUUACCCUUAAAAGAUGACAUGACAACACUGGAGUAACUGAUCGAGUUGUCAACAAAGUUAGAUUUUUUUUUUGCUGCAUUUUAUUAUUUUGCCUUAACUUUUGAUGUCUUUCUCACUGUUAUUUUGCUUUCAAACAAUUCCUAACUAAAUAAGAUGGUUUUGAAGUUUUGACUGGUGUAUUUGUGUUUGUUGCAACAAUGUUAGUUCUCAUGGAAUCCUAUUGUAUUAUUUUGAUAGUAUCUAUCCUUAAUCUUCGGUUAAUCUCCACAAUGUUGAGUUUGUUUUGUUAUUAUAUUCACGUGAUCAAUUUUGACAUGAGAUGCAUACCCAAAUAAGAUAGCUUUUCAAGUAGCACAAAAUUUUUAAAAGAUAAUAUGUUUCUUGAUUUCAAGGUUUUCCAUAAAUAUAUGAAUUUUUUAUUUCAUGGUUUUCCUUAUAAGUUGCAUGGCUUUAAUAAAAAUUGACUUAAAUUCUUCUCAUAAGUAGUAGACCAGAUUUGCUUGAUGCUGCAUUGCUGAUACCAGGUAGGCUUGAUCGCCUCCUUUUCUGUGAUUUUCCAUCUCCGCGUGAAAGGUUGGAUAUUUUGACCUUUCUUUCAAGAAAGGUUAGUGAUAUUGUUUUUAUGCAUCAGUUUUUUACGCUCUCUUUUAUUUUUUGUUUCAUCAUAGAAACCGAAGGUAUAAAACUCUUCUUCAAGUCUUGCUUCCUAGAAUUACAUGAUUUUAACCGCAUGUAUCAGCUUUGUUACAAGGAUUAAGUGGUCAGUGUUGGAUUUUGAUGUACUUCUGUCACUAAUUUACUCAAAAUUUUAAAAAUUUUCGUAUAUUUGGAGGAACAACUUGUAUACUCGUGUCCAAAUAUGUGUAGAACAUAAAUGAAUAGUCCAAGCAACAUAGUAUAGUGUAAUGUGAUUUGCUAUAAAUAUCGAACUAGAAACUACCUUGAUCGAAUGUUUUAGUGUUACUUUCCUUUGUAAUACUUUGUUUUUGCACAUGUAAUGUAGUUUCCAUUGCCCAGUGAUGUCGAUUUGGACACCAUAGCAUAUAUGACAGAAGGAUUUAGCAGAGCUGAUCUCCAAGCUCUUCUCUAAGAUGCACGGCUCGCUGCGAUUCAUGAACAUUUGAGCAGUGAGAAUAACAAUGAGCCUGGCAAAAUUUUGGUCAUAACUAAUACUGUUUUGAAGUCUAUUGCUUCCAAGGCAAGACCUUCAGUUUCAGAAGCCGAAAUCAAAGACUGUAUGGCAUGUACAGUCAGUUUAUGGAUUCAAAGUGACCUGCCCAUAGUGCUGUUGAGGGAUGCAAAAGGCAAGUGGGCAACUCAGGUUCGAGAUAUUUUCUCUAAAGCAGCUGCUUUUGCACCUUGCCUCCUUUUUUUUUUUAUGAAUGUGAUUCCAUGGAACUAAGGGAAACAAGACUUCUAAUUGGUGGGAAGAGGACAUUGAAUUGGAGGUAUCUUCGGCGUAGUUGAAUAGUCGAAUGACAGCUAAACACAAUGAUACAUAUUGUGCAUAAAUGGUGAAACUCGAUGAUGCACAAAACAAAUUUUCCUUAUAGAUUUCUUUUAAACUUUUUCGUUCACAUUUCCCUGUAACCAAACCCUUUCUUUACACGAAUCAGAAUAAGUAACAUAGAAUUUGUUUUUUUGCGUUUCUUGAUAUCUCUUUGAUUCAGACAGUAAUGAGGAAGAAAAGUAAAAUUCAAGGUUGUUCGUAUCGCUUGUCGAUA